CCUCGAAUCAGGUGGGACUACCCGCUGAACUUAAGCAUAUCAAUAAGCGGAGGAAAAGAAACUAACAAGGAUUCCCCUAGUAACGGCGAGUGAAGCGGGAUGAGCUCAAAUUUAAAAUCUGAUAGUCUUUGGCUGUCCGAGUUGUAAUCUAGAGAAGUGUUUUCCGCGUUGGACCAUGUACAAGUUUCCUGGAACGGAACGUCAUAGAGGGUGAGAAUCCCGUCCUUGACAUGGACUACCAGUGCUUUGUGAUACACUCUCAACGAGUCGAGUUGUUUGGGAUUGCAGCUCAAAAUGGGAGGUAAAUUCCUUCUAAAGCUAAAUAUUGGCGAGAGACCGAUAGCGAACAAGUACCGUGAGGGAAAGAUGAAAAGCACUUUGGAAAGAGAGUUAAACAGUACGUGAAAUUGUUAAAAGGGAAACGAUUGAAGUCAGUCGCGUUUACUUGGACUCAGCCUUACCUCGGUUUGGUGCAUUUCCUUGUGAACGGGCCAGCGUCAAUGUUGUCCGUUGGAAAAGGGUUGGAGAAAUGUGGCUCUUUCGGGAGUGUUAUAGUCUCUGAUCGUAUACAACGGCUGAUAUUGAGUGGUACAGCAUGCUUCGGCGGUGCUUGUGCUGGCAUA
RNAcentral lists this ribosomal RNA (623 nucleotides) under uncultured Basidiomycota. RNAcentral's name for it is "LSU rRNA". It matches the Rfam family "Eukaryotic large subunit ribosomal RNA", at positions 1 to 633 of the family's 3401-position model. The record is from RNAcentral. Lineage: Eukaryota; Fungi; Basidiomycota.